GAUGAACGCUGGCGGCGUGCCUAAUACAUGCAAGUCGAGCGAACAGACGAUGAUCUUGCUCCUCUGACGUUAGCGGCUGACGUGUGAGUAACACGUGUAUAACCUACCUAUAAGACUUGGAUAACUUCGGGAAACCGGAGCUAAUACCGGAUAAUAUAUUGAACCGCAUUGUUCAAUAGUGAAAUACGGUUUUUCUGUCACUUAUAGAUGUAUCCGCGCCGCAUUAUCUAGUUGGUAAGGUAACGGCUUACCAAGGCAACGAUUCGUAGCCGACCUGAGAGGGUGAUCGGCCAAACUGGAACUGAGACACGGACCAGACUACUACGGGAGGCAGCAGUAGGGAAUCUUCCGCAAUGGGCGAAAGCUUGACGGAGCAAAGCCGCGUGAGUGAUGAAGGUCUUCGGAUCGUAAAACUCUGUUAUUAGGGAAGAACAAAUGUGUAAGUAAAUAUGCACGUAUUGACGGUACCUAAUCAGAAAGCCACGGCUAACUACGUG
RNAcentral lists this ribosomal RNA (497 nucleotides) under uncultured bacterium. RNAcentral's name for it is "partial 16S ribosomal RNA". It matches the Rfam family "Bacterial small subunit ribosomal RNA", at positions 28 to 507 of the family's 1533-position model. The record is from RNAcentral.